GAAUAUUGGACAAUGGGAGGACCCCUGAUCCAGCCAUGCCGCGUGUGUGAGGAAGGCCUUUUGGUUGUAAAGCACUUUAGGCGGGGAGGAGGCUACUCUGGUUAAUACCUAGGGAUAGUGGACGUUACCGGCGGAAUACGCCCCGGCUAACCCUGUGCCACCACCCGCGGUAAUACAGAGGGUGCAAGCGUUAAUCGGAUUUACUGGGCGUAAAGCGCGCGUAGGUGGCCAAUUAAGUCAAAUGUGAAAUCCCCGAGCUUAACUUGGGAAUUGCAUUCGAUACUGGUUGGCUAGAGUAUGGGAGAGGAUGGUAGAAUUCCAGGUGUAGCGGUGAAAUGCGUAGAGAUCUGGAGGAAUACCGAUGGCGAAGGCAGCCAUCUGGCCUAAUACUGACACUGAGGUGCGAAAGCAUGGGGAGCAAAC
This 423-nucleotide ribosomal RNA is filed under the name uncultured bacterium. RNAcentral describes it as "partial 16S ribosomal RNA". It matches the Rfam family "Bacterial small subunit ribosomal RNA", at positions 359 to 773 of the family's 1533-position model. The record is from RNAcentral.